UUAUUCUUCAUUUGGAUGUCGAUAAUAGCGUUAUCUAUGUGAUUUUUAUGCACUUUUAAUGUUGGUGUCAAAAGUGCGUCUAUACGAUGGCAGGAAAAACUCCACAGAAAGGUAAAGCACCACCAAAGGACGAUGAUAUUCAGAAACAAUUUAAUACUUUGACAAAAAAAAAGGCAAUGCUUAAACGGGACUUAGAACUUGUUACUGUGGAAAAGGAUAGGUUUAAGAGAAAGUUGAUAAAUAUUGAAAACUAUUGCAGGGAGCAUUACAAUGAAAAUGAUAAGAUUCCUGAAAUCCUCAACAAAGUGUACGAAGGGCUAGAAAAAGUAGGUAGUGCUGGCUUCAAAGCUCCUGGUCAAGAAUCUAAACAGUAGUUAAAAAGCAAUGGCUUCUGCAGGUACAGCAGAUUAAAUAAGUACCAAAAAUAAAAUUUAUUUUAUCAAAUAAUAUUAACCGUCGUCAAAUGAUAACCCAAGAACUGAUUUUGAGCUUUAAAUAGCGAUCCUGCCAAGAAACUACAGAUGACAUUGGGCAACACAUUGUUUUUUAAGUGGUUUUCAUUCUGGUUACUAUUUUAUGUGCUAUAUGAAUCAAUUUAGGAAAUUGAAGUGUUUAUCUUUAUUUUUAAACUUUUUCGCAAUAUGUGAAAACCUUGAAAUACAUUGCACCAAUACUUACUAUUUCUGAAA
Molecule: long non-coding RNA, 689 nt
Organism: Teleopsis dalmanni
Lineage: Eukaryota; Metazoa; Arthropoda; Insecta; Diptera; Diopsidae
Exons: 4
Source: RefSeq, a predicted model, not a curated record